RNAcentral lists this ribosomal RNA (315 nucleotides) under Triticum aestivum (bread wheat). RNAcentral's name for it is "partial small subunit ribosomal RNA". The record is from RNAcentral. Lineage: Eukaryota; Viridiplantae; Streptophyta; Magnoliopsida; Poales; Poaceae.
AUGAGCUUGAGUAGCAGGCAGCCGUUUAGACUUAUACAAUCUUCUGUUGUUGGCUUCUUGCUAAUCUGGAUAUACACAAUGAUUGAGUGCCUUCGCUCAGGCUCGUCAUCUCCCUCAACGAAGCAGGUAGACAUGGAGACAGAGGGGAGCAGUCACUGCACGCCCCUGGAACUGCCGGUCCGUGCCAUAGACAGCCCCACUGCCGCAGUCCAUGAUCCGUGCGGCCUCGUCUCGUGGGUUGCAGAACCUCGUGACACGGCGAUCUUGAAAAACGAUCCCACCAAGCAGCAGUGGAUCACAAUACAACAACGGUAA